This 475-nucleotide ribosomal RNA is filed under the name Gemella morbillorum. Its description in RNAcentral is "bacterial SSU rRNA". It matches the Rfam family "Bacterial small subunit ribosomal RNA", at positions 28 to 485 of the family's 1533-position model. The record is from RNAcentral. Lineage: Bacteria; Bacillati; Bacillota; Bacilli; Caryophanales; Gemellaceae.
GACGAACGCGGCGGCGUGCCUAAUACAUGCAAGUCGAGCGAAGUUUUUCUGGUGCUUGCACUAGAAAAACUUAGCGGCGAACGGGUGAGUAACACGUAAAGAACCUGCCUCAUAGACUGGGACAACUAUUGGAAACGAUAGCUAAUACCGGAUAACAGUAUUUCUCGCAUGAGAGAUAUUUAAAAGUUGGUUAUGCUAACACUAUGAGAUGGCUUUGCGGUGCAUUAGCUAGUUGGUGGGGUAAAGGCCCACCAAGGCGACGAUGCAUAGCCGACCUGAGAGGGUGAUCGGCCACACUGGGACUGAGACACGGCCCAGACUCCUACGGGAGGCAGCAGUAGGGAAUCUUCCGCAAUGGGCGAAAGCCUGACGGAGCAACGCCGCGUGAGUGAAGAAGGAUUUCGGUUCGUAAAGCUCUGUUGUUAGGGAAGAAUGGAUAUGUAGUAACUAUACAUGUAAGAGACGGACCUAACCA